RNAcentral lists this unclassified non-coding RNA (4188 nucleotides) under Monomorium pharaonis (pharaoh ant). RNAcentral's name for it is "gTP-binding protein GEM, transcript variant X1". Lineage: Eukaryota; Metazoa; Arthropoda; Insecta; Hymenoptera; Formicidae. The record is from RNAcentral.
UGCCGCGCAUCGUCGGACGUGCAUCGUGUCGGUCGCGCUCGUGUGCGAGCAAUCGAGACAUGUGAUUCGAAUCCGUCGUGAUCCCGGAGAAGGAUGAAAUAGGAAAAAUGACGAGGAGAUGUCCUACGGUCAUAAACGGCCUAAAGUGAGUCAAGAAGAACGUGAGGAUUCUCUGCGGAGGCAGGAUCGGUCGAUAUUACGCCCGGAUCUAUGACAUUCUCACGUGGAUAUCCUGUAAAAUUUUUUCCGAAUUGAAACCUUUCCCGAUAAUCGAAUCCUACGAAUGGAAGGUUCGCGACAUUCGAAGAAACAUUCUGGAAAUCAGACGUGGCGCGACGUUUCCGGCGAAAGGCUUCGAGUCGGAAGGAAAUCGUAUAAGAAUUACGAUAAAAAAGUGUGGAAGAAUUACGAUAAAAACAGUGCCUGACAUAGUCGAGUUAUACAAAUCGUUAUUGUGAUCGUUAAGUGAAGUAUAGAGAUUCUACUUAUUUACGAAGCUACAGCGAGAUUCGAUAUCUCUAAUCUGCGGAGAGGGACGCAAUUAUCGAGAAAUUCGGAGAAGCUAAUCAUCAAGAUAAUCAUCAUAUAAAGGUAAAAGAAUCUGUGGUGAUCAGUGGUUUUAGGAAGGGAGGCACAGUGGUAACUUGAAAAAAUGGCGGAAGACUAUUUUCGCCGGAAAACCAGAUCGGCUUCGAUUUGUGCCCCAGGAUUUUCCAGCAUGGAGCAAAUGUUGGAAGCUAUGCCACCCUCGGGAGUUCGAGAUCGGGAAAGAGGGGAACGGGAAAGGGACAGUGGCAGCGGAACGCCGGAUGGCAGUACACCUACGAGAAGACGGAGACCGGCUACAAGAUCCCAAAGCGCCCGUGUUUCCGGCGGAAAUAAAAGCAUCCGACGUCGUGCCGCCGCUCAAGCCGCCGCUCAUCAUCAUCAUCAUCAUGAGGGAAGCAGCAUGAAGUCAGCUCACUGCAGCAGCGAACCUAGACUGACCGAGAAUGACGUCAGUCCAGGGAUCAGGAGACGAGGGAGCCGAAGGGGACAGAGCAUGCACCAUACGCAUCAGAGGAAGAGCAACGCCUUCCUGGAUGUGCCUGACGUCUCGUCUCAGAUACCACCGCGGGAGGAAGGCGAGGAUGAGGAUAGUUACAGACUCCGUAGCUUCAGUCUCACCAGCAAAGGUGGUGUCGUCAAUAGAGGAGAUUCCUUUAGGAGAAGAAGAUCGAGAUCGAAUUCUCUGGCGCCUGCCGAUCAGGAGAACGAGGAACGACGACUGCCGCCCAAGGAAGUAACUUCGCACAACGUCGCUAUGUUAGGUAUGAGGGGAGUUGGAAAAACGGCCCUUAUCAGUCAGUUUAUGACCAGCGAAUGUAUAAAUGCCUACGAUAGACCAAAAGACGUGCCAAGUGAGCAAUCCGUUUUUGUGAUGCUGAAUGGUGAAGAAAGCGAGCUUAAAUUUUUAAAUAUAACUAAUGUUAAGACCGAACUGGAAAAGAUGCCAUUGCCAGACGCCUUCGUCGUAAUGUAUUCAGUGAUCGACAAGGCGUCCUUUCAAAGGGCCGAGGAAUAUCUCGCUCGACUUCACGAUCAAGAUCUUCUUCGUGCUAGACCGGCUAUUCUGGUCGGGAACAAGGUCGAUUUGGUUCGUUCCAGAGUGGUUUCGCCCCAGGACGGAAAAUGCUUGGCGUGCACCUACCGGGCGAAAUUCAUCGAAGUGUCGGUGGCUAUCAAUCACAAUGUCGACGAGCUUUUGGUUGGCAUACUCAACCAGAUCCGUUUAAAGGUGGUCCAGGAAAACCGAAACAACGGCGGCAGCGAAGGUAGUGCUCAUUGGUACAAAUCCAGAGGCGUCGUGCGCGCCAGUAUGAAAGCCAGGCAGAUGCUGACCUGGCUUUUUGGCAAAGAGGACAGCAAAUUCAAGAAUUGCGAGAACCUCCACGUACUUUAAGUCUCUACUAUAAAAAGAAUCGCAGUCGGGCUGUCCGAUCACUAUUUCAUUAGUACUUCCAGGUGUGACUGAGCGUUGCUUACCAGUAACUUCCUUGAUAUAAACUUCGUCCUCCUACCUUUUGAAAAAUUUAAUUAGUGCUAAUAAAUUACUUAUUAAAAUCUUUAUUCAAACAAUGCUGAAUAUACAGAUUACUUGUGACGAUUAUAUGUAACUUUAUUUUGAAAAUAACUUAAAAUUGAAGGAAUUAACGUUCUAACAAAUUCCGUUACACAUUUCUCGUUGCUUAUUCUACCUGAUCGUACACUUUUCGUUAGCAUUCUACACUUGUUAAAGAGAAUUAAAGCUCUAUAGCAAAACAGGCACUUAAAUGUUGCGUAUUUUUAAUUUUAUAUAAUUACGAGUGGCGCUGAAUUCGAUGGCCCUUAAUAAUACAAUCAAAAGUUCAAAUCGAUAUCGUGAUACGAUAAGAAAACAAAUCAAACUGGACCACAGCGCGAAUUAGUCGCCAUUAAGUUUACAAUUACUGUAUGAUAAGACCGGUUAAUUUUUUAUUUUGUAUAUGUAUAUAAAUAACGAAGUUACAUAUAUAAGCGUGUACUUGUGCAAGCAUCUAUACAGAUAUAUUCAACGUGUACAUCCCUAAUUUUCUCUGGACGAGUGUCGAUUCUACCACGUGAUGGCAUUGUAUCAACGGCGUUUGUAAACAAAAUACCGCUGCUAUCCUCGCAUCGCUAAAUUGGCUUGCAUCGCUAGUGCCAUUAAUUUCUCGCGUUCCAAUGGGCUUCCCGCAGUCCGUUAUUGUGCAUAAGGCCAUACAACUUAAUGCAAUACGCUAAUGUUACUUGACAUUAAGUUGUAUAUAAAAGUCAUGAGGUUACUUUGCUAUCUAAUGUACUUAUUAGAAAAAAAUAGAGCGUAAAGCUGCCUAUAUAUGUUGCUAAGAUGUUUCCUACGCUAUUGAGCGGAUCUAUACGUCGCGCGUGCGUGAAUAAUUUUUAUCAGCUGUAUUUCAAAGUAGAUAAUUACAUCGAUUGCGUAUUUUAAUUCCAGAUACGUUAAGAGUUGUCAUACAACCGUGGAUUAAGUAACAUUUAAUUAGCGGUUUGAGGUCUGACAUUGUAAAUUCCUUAAUCGAAUAUUCUAUCAAUUAUUUUAUAAUCCGUUAUUUUGUACCGAUAUGUGUGAUACCAAUAUUAAUAUAGGUCAUAGUUUAUGCGGCAUUUUGUGUGCAAUGUUCUGCCGCAAUGGAAAUCAAAUCCAUCAUGUUGCGUAUUUCCCUCGCGCGCGCCGCGAGAAGAUGGGUACAGCGGCGGCGUAUGUACUCAAAAUUAUAGUCUUCUGAAGAGAGAGAUAUCCUUUUUGAAUUUUUAAGGAGAGUAUCUAUUUUCUGCGAACUCUAUGCCUGUGUAUCCGAAUUAUACGAAUGUAGCAUAAAAGCUGAAUGCGUAGAUCUGUAUACCUAUAUACAUGAUGGGAACAAUGCGCGAAUGAUGUGCAACUUUGUCCUUCUCGUAUGAACGUUUCAUUGUCUCUAGACUACGUGUAGGAGAAAUUAACGUUUCGGAUUACAGUAGUAAAUUAUGGACUUCCUUUCUCUCGUUGUAUGAAUAUUUCGGAAGGUAUUUUGACUCUUGCUAAAUAAAACUCAAAAAGUUUCUUCUGGCAUUCUUCGUUAUCGUCGUUAUCAUCGUCGUGCAAUUAAUUCGAUCGUCAGCAUCAAAUGCGAGUUGCGACGAAUACGGUGUGUGAACUUUUGAGUUUAAGAAUUUAUCCCAAAAUGUUUCUCGUUCGAGAAACGGAAGAUUUUUAUCAAGUGCCUUUGCGUAUUUUUGUAAUUUAAGCUAACUCAGUGUAAGCCCCAUGAGUAUCGCAUUGUAUAAUCUAUUAUUAUACAUAUAUUACCGAUAUAUUUCUUUGUUGUUAAUUCAUCAUGUUACCUGUGAAAUCAUUACGUUGCACACUCUCGGUGGCGUAACUUUUUUUAUUAAAAAAGUAUACAAUUAUAAUAUUCUCAUCUUACAACUCAUUAAAAUGUCAAAGUGAUAAAUUUGCUUUUACCUAAUUAAAACACAUUUAAAGUUACGCCGCCGAUAAAUGUCCUUGUUUAUUCGUAUUAUUAGCACAUCUCCCGAAAGCUGUAAAAUGUAACUUAGUUACUAAAGUAUUAUCAUUGUGUCUGCUCGCUGUAAUACGUGACGUGACAAUACUGCCAGUUCUUUUGAUUAAUAAAAUGCUUUAAAAAA